UCUGUUUCCUGUAAUCACAUUCAAUUCUUACUUCAUGCAAGGGAACCGCUUACAGAUAAGAACACUUGAGGAAAGUCCCAAACAUUCAGCCCCUUUAGUCUGACCCCGUUAAGAUUUAAGGUGAACAAUCCCACUAUACACUGGUUUCUAUAGCAAACAUUCUUUUUUUUCCCACUCCAUGCAAGGAAGUCGUUAAUAAAAGAAACAACAUACUUUCCCAGCCACGAAGAGUAUAAAGUGAAACUGCUUGAUGCACGUGGUACUUCAGAAGGGCUGAUUUAAAAGAAGUUGGAUCAGUGCUGCAAAACAGGGUAUGCAGCAUACGCAAUGAUAACUAUUAAUCCGUUGAGACUUGUGAAACCCAAUAACAAUACAAGGAGUGAAAACAAAUGAAGAAGUGAGAUAAAUAAGAAAUUAUUGAAAAAAGAAAUGGAAGUUACUAAAACGUUUGCACCAGAUAGUUUAAUCCUGGACACCAUAAAUAUGAUUAACACAAUUGACAGACCAGAAAAGUUCGUGGUAGAAGGCAUCUAUUCUGGAUCUGGAACAUAUGCAGAAGCGAACGGAAUUCCCAAGGCUGGAGCUUAUGCCGAAGCAGGAGUGGGUCGUGUUCGAGCUGAACUCAGUGUGUUAGAGGCAGAAGCCAAGGGUCCCAACGCCUCGGCUAGUGCUGAAGCAAGUGUGCUUGGAGUUGGAGCUCAUGCAGAAGCAGGAGUGGGUUGUGCCCGAGCUGGACUCAGUGUGUUAGAGGCAGAAGCCAAGGGUCCCAACGCCUCGGCUGGUGCUGGAGCAAGUGUGUUUGGAGCUAAAGCAAUGGUUCAGGCCGAGGUUGGCAGCGUGUCAGCCAAAGCUGGCCCAUUGGGUGUUAAACUGGGACUUGCAGCUGACACGGGUGCAUCUGUUGGACCUGAAGGUUUGGAGGUAAAAUUCCUGGGAACUGGAAUCAAAUUGGGUGAAGAAACCAGUGUGUCUCUAUUUGGUUCGGAAGUCUCAUGUUCAGUCAUGUAGUCAAACAGACUCUAGGCAUCCCACUCCUGGGGACGAGUGUGAAGAGCUAAUGUGGAACAAGCCAUUAUGACCAUUGCUGUUCAGAUCAAAAAAUAAAAUACAGAGAAAAAUAUUUUGUGUGCUCUUUGAUCUUGUGAAAUAAAAAAUAAAAAAAAGAA
Molecule: long non-coding RNA, 1166 nt
Organism: Myxocyprinus asiaticus (Chinese sucker)
Lineage: Eukaryota; Metazoa; Chordata; Actinopteri; Cypriniformes; Catostomidae
Exons: 4
Source: RefSeq, a predicted model, not a curated record